Molecule: transfer RNA, 69 nt
Filed under: Ictidomys tridecemlineatus (thirteen-lined ground squirrel)
Lineage: Eukaryota; Metazoa; Chordata; Mammalia; Rodentia; Sciuridae
Description: Spermophilus tridecemlineatus (thirteen-lined ground squirrel) tRNA
Rfam family: tRNA
About the family: Transfer RNA (tRNA) molecules are approximately 80 nucleotides in length. Their secondary structure includes four short double-helical elements and three loops (D, anti-codon, and T loops).
Source: Rfam by way of RNAcentral
GGAGUAGUGGCUCAGUGGUAGAGCACUUGCCUGGCAUGUGUGAGGCCCUGGGUUCAAUCCUCAGCACCA